GGGAUUCUUCGUUGGUUCAAUCGAGGUUAGGGUUUUCCUCUGUCGGUGCGCGAUUGGAGGUGUGUCCUCUAUUCGGCGAGGAGUCUGCUCGAGGAUCCGGUUUCCGAAACUGAUCGGCGUCGGUAGCAGCGACGGGAGCAGCAAGAUGCAAAGCUCGAUCGACGGCGGUUCUCUCUUGAUCUCUACCUCCUUCAGACUCCCUCAAACCUUAGAAGACAGAGCAAUUGCCGAUCGAAGAGUUCGAAGCGUGGGGUUCAUAUACGAAGCCGAGUGGUGAUGGUAGCGGAUCUAGUUCCUUCUCGGAGAUCGAACGUUCGCUCGCUCGACCGAUCGAACGCUCGGCCCUCGGUCCUCUGGUGCAGAAACUCGCCGGAGGUUGGGCGGAUCGGCGAUGAUGAUGCUUAACCGAGUUUGUCUCUGGAUCGAACUCACCAAAACGGGCUCAGACAGCUUCGAUCCUUCGCCGUUCAUUCAAGGUUAUCUACCUCUCUCUCUCAAUCGCUCUAUCUCUGGUUCGACCAGUUGGGGAAGAACAAGUUUAUUGAGUUUCUCCUAGUAAAUGUCGUCUGUUUAGGUGCUGCUGUUGUCAUCGUUGUUAUUAAUUGAUGGAUUUAGAGGAUCUGUUUAGGUUCUGGUUUGGAUUUGAUCUUGAGCUGAGUAGAUAUCUGAUUAAGCCGUGCUCUUUGCUGUGUAAUCGAGAUGAACGAUUGCUGUAUCGUACAAGGAUGGAAAUGGUGUUGGCAUUGAGAUCA
Molecule: long non-coding RNA, 752 nt
Organism: Eucalyptus grandis
Lineage: Eukaryota; Viridiplantae; Streptophyta; Magnoliopsida; Myrtales; Myrtaceae
Exons: 2
Source: RefSeq, a predicted model, not a curated record